RNAcentral lists this transfer RNA (67 nucleotides) under Nesophrosyne makaihe. Its description in RNAcentral is "tRNA-Phe". The record is from RNAcentral. Lineage: Eukaryota; Metazoa; Arthropoda; Insecta; Hemiptera; Cicadellidae.
UUUUACAUAGCUUAUAGAAUUAGAGUAUAUCAGUGAAGUUGAUAGUGAAACUUAAUGUUUGUAGAAA